UACACACCGCCCGUCACACCAUGGGAGUUGGCUGCACCAGAAGUAGUUAGCCCAACCGCAAGGGGGGCGAUUACCACGGUGUGGUCAAUGACUGGGGUG
Molecule: ribosomal RNA, 99 nt
Filed under: uncultured bacterium
Lineage: Bacteria
Description: partial 16S ribosomal RNA
Rfam family: Bacterial small subunit ribosomal RNA
Source: RNAcentral